This 21-nucleotide microRNA is filed under the name Saccharum officinarum (sugarcane). RNAcentral's name for it is "sof-miR159e". Its record names the gene sof-miR159e. Lineage: Eukaryota; Viridiplantae; Streptophyta; Magnoliopsida; Poales; Poaceae. The record is from miRBase by way of RNAcentral. RNAcentral also lists the same sequence under 1 other name.
UUUGGAUUGAAAGGAGCUCUU